UCCUGUACCACCUAUAAUCGUUUUAAUCGAUGGGGGGACGCAGUAGGAUAGGCGAAGCGUGCGAUUGGAUUGCACGUCUAAGCAGUAAGGCUGAGUAUUAGGCAAAUCCGGUACUCGUUAAGGCUGAGCUGUGAUGGGGAGAAGACAUUGUGUCUUCGAGUCGUUGAUUUCACACUGCCGAGAAAAGCCUCUAGAUAGAAAAUAGGUGCCCGUACCGCAAACCGACACAGGUAGUCAAGAUGAGAAUUCUAAGGUGAGCGAGCGAACUCUCGUUAAGGAACUCGGCAAAAUGACCCCGUAACUUCGGGAGAAGGGGUGCUCUUUAGGGUUAACGCCCAGAAGAGCCGCAGUGAAUAGGCCCAAGCGACUGUUUAUCAAAAACACAGGUCUCUGCUAAACCGUAAGGUGAUGUAUAGGGGCUGACGCCUGCCCGGUGCUGGAAGGUUAAGAGGAGUGGUUAGCUUCUGCGAAGCUACGAAUCGAAGCCCCAGUAAACGGCGGCCGUAACUAUAACGGUCCUAAGGUAGCGAAAUUCCUUGUCGGGUAAGUUCCGACCCGCACGAAAGGCGUAACGAUUUGGGCACUGUCUCAACGAGAGACUCGGUGAAAUCAUAGUACCUGUGAAGAUGCAGGUUACCCGCGACAGGACGGAAAGACCCCGUGGAGCUUUACUGUAGCCUGAUAUUGAAAUUCGGCACAGCUUGUACAGGAUAGGUAGGAGCCUUUGAAACGUGAGCGCUAGCUUACGUGGAGGCGCUGGUGGGAUACUACCCUAGCUGUGUUGGCUUUCUAACCCGCACCACUUAUCGUGGUGGGAGACAGUGUCAGGCGGGCAGUUUGACUGGGGCGGUCGCCUCCUAAAAGGUAACGGAGGCGCUCAAAGGUUCCCUCAGAAUGGUUGGAAAUCAUUCAUAGAGUGUAAAGGCAUAAGGGAGCUUGACUGCGAGACCUACAAGUCGAGCAGGGUCGAAAGACGGACUUAGUGAUCCGGUGGUUCCGCAUGGAAGGGCCAUCGCUCAACGGAUAAAAGCUACCCCGGGGAUAACAGGCUUAUCUCCCCCAAGAGUUCACAUCGACGGGGAGGUUUGGCACCUCGAUGUCGGCUCAUCGCAUCCUGGGGCUGUAGUCGGUCCCAAGGGUUGGGCUGUUCGCCCAUUAAAGCGGUACGCGAGCUGGGUUCAGAACGUCGUGAGACAGUUCGGUCCCUAUCCGUCGUGGGCGUAGGAAAUUUGAGAGGAGCUGUCCUUAGUACGAGAGGACCGGGAUGGACAUACCUCUGGUGUACCAGUUGUCGUGCCAACGGCAUAGCUGGGUAGCUAUGUGUGGACGGGAUAAGUGCUGAAAGCAUCUAAGCAUGAAGCCCCCCUCAAGAUGAGAUUUCCCAACUUCGGUUAUAAGAUCCCUCAAAGAUGAUGAGGUUAAUAGGUUCGAGGUGGAAGCAUGGUGACAUGUGGAGCUGACGAAUACUAAUCGAUCGAAGACUUAAUCAA
This 1490-nucleotide ribosomal RNA is filed under the name Staphylococcus aureus. RNAcentral describes it as "partial 23S ribosomal RNA". It matches the Rfam family "Bacterial large subunit ribosomal RNA", at positions 1437 to 2925 of the family's 2925-position model. Lineage: Bacteria; Bacillati; Bacillota; Bacilli; Caryophanales; Staphylococcaceae. The record is from RNAcentral.